Molecule: ribosomal RNA, 484 nt
Filed under: uncultured bacterium
Lineage: Bacteria
Description: partial 16S ribosomal RNA
Rfam family: Bacterial small subunit ribosomal RNA
Source: RNAcentral
AUUGAACGCUGGCGGCAGGCCUAACACAUGCAAGUCGAGCGGAUGAAGGGAGCUUGCUCCUGGAUUCAGCGUCGGACGGGUGAGUAAUGCCUAGGAAUCUGCCUGGUAGUGGGUGAUAACGUCCGGAAACGGGCGCUAAUACCGCAUACAUCCUGAGGGAGAAAGUGGGGGAUCUUCGGACCUCACGCUAUCAGAUGAGCCUAGGUCGGAUUAGCUAGUUGGUGGGGUAAAGGCCUACCAAGGCGACGAUCCGUAACUGGUCUGAGAGGAUGAUCAGUCACACUGGAACUGGGACACGGUCCAGACUCCUACGGGAGGCAGCAGUGGGGAAUAUUGGACAAUGGGCGAAAGCAUGAUCCAGCCAUGCCGCGUGUGUGAAGAAGGUCUUCGGAUUGUAAAGCACUUUAAGUUGGGAGGAAGGGCAGUAAGUUAAUACCUUGCUGUUUUGACGUUACCAACAGAAUAAGCACCGGCUAACUUCGUG